This is a long non-coding RNA of Cyprinus carpio (common carp), 317 nucleotides long. RefSeq lists it as uncharacterized. The record is from RefSeq and is a predicted model, not a curated record. The transcript is spliced from 3 exons. NCBI's taxonomy places the organism in Eukaryota, Metazoa, Chordata, Actinopteri, Cypriniformes, Cyprinidae.
UACAUCACAUCACACUGUUGUCACUGUGGCCCAGAAAGUGCCAACUCUCAUGAAACCGUGUGUCUCUCCUCUUCUGAAGUGAGAUGGAGUGUCUGCUGUUCUUGGAAGUUAACGUGACGUCAUUUCCCUGCGGCUUCUUCUGAAAUUCACUGCCAGAGCUCAUGAACAUCCGGAGUGGCCCUUUUCCAGAGGAAUGUAAAUGCUAACAGAUGCUUUCUCCAGAUGACUGCACAGAUGUCCUUCACUGCUGGUGAUAUCCCACAAUCCUGUGCAUGCAACUCACAGUUGGUGGAAUAUAAAAAAAUUGGCUGAAACAA